Molecule: ribosomal RNA, 458 nt
Filed under: uncultured bacterium
Lineage: Bacteria
Description: partial 16S ribosomal RNA
Rfam family: Bacterial small subunit ribosomal RNA
Source: RNAcentral
CCUACGGGAGGCAGCAGUGAGGAAUAUUGGUCAAUGGGCGAGAGCCUGAACCAGCCAAGUCGCGUGAGGGAGUACUGCCCUAUGGGUUGUAAACCUCUUUUGUCGGGGAGCAAAAGCCGGACGUGUCCGGCUGUGAGAGUACCCGAAGAAAAAGCAUCGGCUAACUCCGUGCCAGCAGCCGCGGUAAUACGGAGGAUGCGAGCGUUAUCCGGAUUUAUUGGGGUUAAAGGGUGCGCAGGCGGAGUUUUAAGUCAGCGGUCAAAUCGUGGGGCUCAACCCCAUCCAGCCGUUGAAACUGGGGAUCUAGAGUGUGCGAGAGGUAUGCGGAAUGCGUGGUGUAGCGGUGAAAUGCAUAGAUAUCACGCAGAACCCCGAUUGCGAAGGCAGCAUACCGGUGCACAACUGACGCUCAGGCACGAAAGCGUGGGUAUCGAACAGGAUUAGAUACCCCAGUAGUC